UAGGUUGGUGCAAAAGUCAUCACGGUUUUUGCCAUUAAAACCGCGAUGAGUUUUGCACCAACCUA
MicroRNA precursor from Chlorocebus sabaeus (green monkey), 65 nucleotides. The record is from Ensembl. NCBI's taxonomy places the organism in Eukaryota, Metazoa, Chordata, Mammalia, Primates, Cercopithecidae.